CCGGCUCUGUGUCUGUCGGGCGGGCGGGCGGCAUGGGGCUGUGAGGCGGGCGGGCAUCGCCCAGGCCCCUCGCCCGCCAUGCCAGGCAAAGCCCAGCACUUCCAGGGGCCUCAGGUCAGCUGCUGCUCCAAGUACCUGCUCUUCGCCUCCAACGUGCUCUUCUGGUUGCUGGGAGCUGCGUUCCUGGCCAUUGGUCUUUGGGCCUGGGCAGAAAAGGGGGUGCUCUCCAAUCUGUCCUCCAUCACAGACCUGGGAGGCUUUGAUCCUGUCUGGCUCUUCCUCGUGGUCGGAGUGGUGAUGUUUGUCCUGGGAUUUGCUGGCUGCAUUGGAGCCUUGAGAGAGAAUACAUUCCUGCUCAAAUUUUUCUCUGUGUUUCUGGGGCUCAUCUUUUUCCUGGAGCUGACGGCAGGUAUUCUGGCCUUCAUCUUUAAGGACUGGAUCAAGGACCAGCUCAAUUUCUUCAUCAACAAUAAUGUCAAGGCCUACCGUGAUGACAUCGACCUCCAGAACCUCAUAGACUUUGCUCAGGAAUAUUGGUCUUGCUGUGGAGCGCACGGGCCUAAUGACUGGAAUCUCAACAUUUACUUCAACUGCACUGACUCCAACCCCAGCAGAGAACGCUGUGGGGUGCCCUUUUCCUGCUGUGUCAAGGAUCCUGCGGAAGAUGUUCUCAACACACAGUGUGGCUACGAUGUUCGCCUUAAACUGGUGAGAGUCAGGUUGGUGUGGUGGCUGGAGCCAGGAGCUGGAGCAGCAGAGCUUUAUCCAUACCAAAGGAUGUGCUGGUCAAUUUGAGAAAUGGGUCCAGGACAAUCUCAUUGUGGUGGCCGGGACCUUUGUGGGUGUUGCAUUGCUCCAGAUCUUUGGGAUCUGCCUGGCGCAAAAUCUAGUGAGUGACAUUAAUGCUGUGAAAGCUAAUUGGUGACACCAAAACAGAGACUCUUCCACAGGCUCACAGCACACUCCAGAGGACUAAAGCCUUCGUCUGCCCAUGACCAUAAGGUGCUGCUGUGCCAUCAACCAGCUGUGUGUGUGUACAGCCAUUACUACCAGUAGUAAUGGCUGCCCUGUGUCCUUCCAUAGCUUUCCCUUCCUAGUUUGGGCAGGGAAUGGAGUUGUGGGCAGCUAUGUAAAUAAGUAUUUAUACAGGACUUUUGGGGGACUCCUUCCAUCCCACUGCAAAGCCUAUGGAGCCAGAGGACUGUUACAUCUGCAGGUCAGAGAUACAAGGGUCAAAUGAUAUAAACAGCUCUGGAUCUGGGUGGGUUGCUACAGGAUGAGGCAUGGGCCAUAUGGCUGAACACUAAGAAGCACAUGGAAACUAGAGUCCUGCUUCUGCUGCCUGGAGCAGCCCCUACACUUUUGUCCUCCCUGCAAGCAUUUACUUGAAUUUUCUGUGCAUUUCUCCCCAUCUGCUCAGGUCUGCUUUCUAACAGUGGAUUGGAUUAAGGAGGUUAUAAGGUUGGGUUCCCUAGUCCCAUGUUUAGAAAUUCAUUUUGGCAGCUUAUGUGUAUCAUAUUCAGAUGGUCUCUUGCCUCAUUCUUGUGGGGUCAGGGGUACAAGCCGAAGGAUUACUAAUGGGACAAGAUGCUGCUGUAGAACAUUUUCCACAACAGUCCUCUCUGCUUUUUUGGGUCUACAGCUAUGCACACACAAAAUGGAAAAUAGUGUGUCCAGACAGGUCCUAACAUGGGUCCAACUACUCAGGCCCAAUAAGAGAGAGCUACUAGAAAUAGGUUGACUUGCUUUUUAAAGGAAAAUAUUAACCUUGCUCCGAACAUAUAGGACUUUGUAUAUUAGAAGGGACAAACAACUUAAUUACACGUUUCUCUAACUCUGGGCUUCAGAAAUGGACUGUGGACAGCCAUUUUUUUGACGUGGCAAAUAUGCAACCCUUGUAUGCAAUACCUUUUUAUGUCUUCACCUGAAACAUUAGCCCAUAGAAACUAUUUUAGUCCUUCCGUCUGAGCUGAACCCAGUUUGAGCCUUGGCCAGACUUGGCCCUGCCUUUUUUCCAUGAGUUUCCUCUUGGUUUUGCAGGGCACCCGUGCUUCAUGGGUUGGCUGAUGACACUGUUGAGAGGACUUUGGCACAUAGCAGGGAAGGGCCGUGGUUUAAAUGUGUGUCUUCGUUGACUCUACUAUUUCCUUGCACUCUUUCUUGGAUGGGAUUCUUUUGCCAAUCCCCUGGACUCUGCUGCUAAGGGGAACUGAUUGGAUCAUUUGGGAUUCUGUUGAUCUGGUGCAUCCAAUAAAACAACCCCCUACCAAA
Molecule: RNA transcript, 2271 nt
Organism: Anolis sagrei ordinatus
Lineage: Eukaryota; Metazoa; Chordata; Lepidosauria; Squamata; Anolidae
Gene: TSPAN17
Gene name: tetraspanin 17
Source: RefSeq, a predicted model, not a curated record